RNAcentral lists this long non-coding RNA (808 nucleotides) under Homo sapiens (human). Lineage: Eukaryota; Metazoa; Chordata; Mammalia; Primates; Hominidae. The record is from RNAcentral.
AGCUCGGGGCAGGGUGGGCGCGAGAGAGCCUAGAAGCCCAUGUAGCCGCGAAUCCCGCAGCCCCAGUACACCUCCCUCCGUGCCUCCCCGCCUUUUCUGCAGAGCUCCGCCCUGGAGUGAAGGAGGAGCCGUCACCUGGAGCUCCGAAAAAAGCAGAAGAAGCCUAGUUGGAAACUUGUGGAUGCUGUGACCUCAAGAAGACUUGGCAUUUUAUUUGGAAGAUAGACAUCUAUUUGCAACUGUCCUGAGCCCCUAUUUUCCUCCCACCUUUCUUGGGGAAACUUGUUUUUAAGGGAUGCCACUGUUUUUGUAACAUGUUGCUCCUAGCUCUUAGCAUUCAUGGUACUGUUGUAACCGUCCAGUGGGUUCACUUUGUCUGCUAGAUAGAGCCGAUUUAUCAAGACGGGGAUUACAAUGGAGAAAGAGUAAUUCACGCAGAGCCGGCUUUGCAGAUAAAACUCUGCAAAGACAAUGUCUAGCACUUAUAUCUCCAGUAACUCCUGUCAAGGUUUAUUGUUGCUUGUUCAUCAUUGCAGUCCUGACUACAAGUGUGAUUGCACUUUCUAUUGUUUUGUCAGAAUUUCCUGAAAAGAUACAAAGGCCCUUCUGACCAUUGGAUUGGCCUUAGAAGAGAAUCAUCCCAUCGCAUUUGGAAAUGGACAGACAACAUGGAAUAUAAUAACAUGCUUGCUAUCAGAGGAAGUGGAGAAUGUGCCUUCCUGAAUGACAAUGGAGUCAACAGUGGCAGAAUCUACAUGAACAGAAAAUGGAUUUGUAGCAAGCCAAACAAUUAUGUCUACAGUUGCCA